AGAGUUUGAUCAUGGCUCAGGACGAACGCGGGCGGCGUGCUAAUACAUGCAAGUCGAGCGAGCAGAACCAGCAGAUUUACUUCGGUAAUGACGCUGGGGACGCGAGCGGCGGAUGGGUGAGUAACACGUGGGGAACCUGCCCCAUAGUCUGGGAUACCACUUGGAAACAGGUGCUAAUACCGGAUAAGAAAGCAGAUCGCAUGAUCAGCUUAUAAAGGCGGCGUAAGCUGUCGCUAUGGGAUGGCCCCGCGGUGCAUUAGCUAGUUGGUAAGGUAACGGCUCACCAAGGCGACGAUGGGUAGCCGGCCUGAGAGGGUGGACGGCCACACUGGGACUGAGACACGGCCCAGACUCCUACGGGAGGCAGCAGUAGGGAAUAUUGCGCAAUGGACGGAAGUCUGACGCAGCGACGCCGCGUGAGCGAUGAAGGUCUUCGGAUCGUAAAGCUCUGUCCUUGGGGAAGAAGGCGAAAGCUUGACGGUACCCAAGAAGAAAGCCCCGGCUAACUACGUGCCAGCAGCCGCGGUAAUACGUAGGGGGCGAGCGUUGUCCGGAAUUACUGGGCGUAAAGGGUGCGUAGGCGGCCCUUUAAGUCGGAUGUGAAAGCCCGCGGCUUAACCGCGGAAUGGCAUUCGAAACUGGAGGGCUUGAGUGUCGGAGAGGGUAGUGGAAUUCCCAGUGUAGCGGUGAAAUGCGUAGAUAUUGGGAGGAACACCAGUGGCGAAGGCGACUACCUGGACGAUAACUGACGCUGAGGCACGAAAGCUAGGGGAGCAAACAGGAUUAGAUACCCUGGUAGUCCUAGCCGUAAACGAUGGGUACUAGGUGUGGGUGGUUUCGAUACCAUCCGUGCCGUAGUUAACGCAUUAAGUACCCCGCCUGGGGAGUACGUGCGCAAGCAUGAAACUCAAA
This 912-nucleotide ribosomal RNA is filed under the name uncultured bacterium. RNAcentral's name for it is "bacterial SSU rRNA". It matches the Rfam family "Bacterial small subunit ribosomal RNA", at positions 8 to 905 of the family's 1533-position model. The record is from RNAcentral.